RNAcentral lists this long non-coding RNA (1057 nucleotides) under Callithrix jacchus (white-tufted-ear marmoset). RNAcentral's name for it is "lncRNA (ENSCJAG00000080391.1)". Lineage: Eukaryota; Metazoa; Chordata; Mammalia; Primates; Cebidae. The record is from RNAcentral.
GACUUAAGCUAUAUGAUUCAGUCUCUCAGUGCCUCUGUAUUUUCACCUUAAAGCAAGAAUAAUACAUUUUAUCAUACCUAACUCAAGCAGUACACAAAGUAAUACAUUUUAUUACUACCUAACUCAAGCAGUAUACCAAGUAAAUUAAUAGUAAAUGUAGUAUCUCAAGAAUUUAGUAUCUGUCUUUUAUUUUUCAUCACUGAGAAUAGACCAUAAUUAGAACAAUUAAUCUUGAUUAUAGAGAGGAAAGAAAAAAGUAAAAUGCCUAGAAUAGUAUAUUUAGAAUUAUUUAACUCUAAUGAACUUUGAAAAUCUUACGGAAAAACCCAUAUGGUGUGUGUAAGUGCAAAUACAUGGAAAAAUUCAGAUGAGGAAUCUAUUUCUUUUCAUGUUUUAUAAUGCCAAGAGCUAAUACAGUGCUCGUUCUGAAAUCUCAUCUGUCAUACUGUGUUCUGUAAAGUGACAGAACAUGAUGUAACAUAUUGAUGAGACCCAACGUGACACAAAGCAUGGUUUGUGGUCUGCGUGUAGGUAUAGAUAAUUAGGAAAACUCUGGGAAAGAGACUUUUAGAAAGGUUUAAUGAAGAAUUAUAAUAGAUAAAUAAGAGGUAAGACUGAGUAUACCUUUUUAAAUAAAAUAAGACACAUAGGAUAUUGGAUGUUAUCCUCCUGACCCCCAAAUUUUAUAAUUCUGUUUGGCAUAUAACCUUUACAUAUGAUUAAGAUAGCAAACCUUAUACCCACAGCAUUCCCUUGUAAGAGGAGAAUAUGGAGAUCCAAAGUACACACAGUACAGCUUGCCCACUGAGAAUAGGCAGUGUCCCAGAACAUGGCUCAUGAGUCAGCUCCUUUCUAAACUCCUGAGCACUGCUGGAUAGAAAAUAAAGAUUUUUUACAAUUAAUUUUAAUGAUUAAAAAUAUGACAAUGCAGACAUUUAGAAAGUAAUUGAACAGGCAAUUUGUGGCAGUAUAAAUAUUGUAAACAUACAAAACAAAACAAAACAAAAAACAAUUCCCAUAUGGUACCUUUCAAAUAAGAUAUUUAAUUAAAAUAGCC